GUUCUGGUAGCUUAAAAACCCAAAGCCCUGGUCUUGUAAACCAGAAAUGAGGAUUAUCCUCCCAAAACA
This 69-nucleotide transfer RNA is filed under the name Eremias vermiculata. Its description in RNAcentral is "tRNA-Thr". It matches the Rfam family "tRNA". From Rfam's summary of the family: Transfer RNA (tRNA) molecules are approximately 80 nucleotides in length. Their secondary structure includes four short double-helical elements and three loops (D, anti-codon, and T loops). Further hydrogen bonds mediate the characteristic L-shaped molecular structure. tRNAs have two regions of fundamental functional importance: the anti-codon, which is responsible for specific mRNA codon recognition, and the 3' end, to which the tRNAs corresponding amino acid is attached (by aminoacyl-tRNA synthetases). tRNAs cope with the degeneracy of the genetic code in two manners: having more than one tRNA (with a specific anti-codon) for a particular amino acid; and 'wobble' base-pairing, i.e. permitting non-standard base-pairing at the 3rd anti-codon position. The record is from RNAcentral. Lineage: Eukaryota; Metazoa; Chordata; Lepidosauria; Squamata; Lacertidae.